This 30-nucleotide non-coding RNA is filed under the name Mus musculus (house mouse). The record is from RNAcentral. Lineage: Eukaryota; Metazoa; Chordata; Mammalia; Rodentia; Muridae.
UCCGGUUUUUGCCUUCUGUGGGUUUUAUAG